CGGGCGGCUGCAGUGGGGAAUAUUGGGCAAUGGAGGCAACUCUGACCCAGCCAUGCCGCGUGGGUGACGAAGGUCUUCGGAUUGUAAAGCCCUUUCGGCGGGGACGAUGAUGACGGUACCCGCAGAAGAAGCCCCGGCUAACUUCGUGCCAGCAGCCGCGGUAAUACGAAGGGGGCUAGCGUUGUUCGGAAUUACUGGGCGUAAAGGGCGUGUAGGCGGCCCGCUAAGUCAGGUGUGAAAGGCCUGGGCUCAACCCAGGAAAUGCGCCUGAGACUGACGGGCUUGAAUCCGGGAGAGGAUGGUGGAACUCCCAGUGUAGAGGUGAAAUUCGUAGAUAUUGGGAAGAACACCCGUGGCGAAGGCGGCCAUCUGGACCGGUAUUGACGCUAAGGCGCGACAGCGUGGGGAGCAAACAGGAUUAGAUACCCCAGUAGUC
Molecule: ribosomal RNA, 436 nt
Filed under: uncultured bacterium
Lineage: Bacteria
Description: partial 16S ribosomal RNA
Rfam family: Bacterial small subunit ribosomal RNA
Source: RNAcentral